Molecule: non-coding RNA, 24 nt
Filed under: Arabidopsis thaliana (thale cress)
Lineage: Eukaryota; Viridiplantae; Streptophyta; Magnoliopsida; Brassicales; Brassicaceae
Source: RNAcentral
AAUCCCUCGCAAACAGCUAUACGC